RNAcentral lists this ribosomal RNA (424 nucleotides) under uncultured bacterium. RNAcentral's name for it is "bacterial SSU rRNA". It matches the Rfam family "Bacterial small subunit ribosomal RNA", at positions 355 to 771 of the family's 1533-position model. The record is from RNAcentral.
UGGGGAAUAUUGCGCAAUGGGCGAAAGCCUGACGCAGCCAUGCCGCGUGUGUGAAGAAGGCCUUAGGGUUGUAAAGCACUUUCAAUUGGGAAGAAAAGUUGGUCGUUAAUAGCGGCCAGCCCUGACAUUACCUUUAGAAGAAGCACCGGCUAACUCCGUGCCAGCAGCCGCGGUAAUACGGAGGGUGCGAGCGUUAAUCGGAAUUACUGGGCGUAAAGCGCGCGUAGGCGGUUGUUUAAGUCGGAUGUGAAAGCCCCGGGCUCAACCUGGGAACUGCAUUCGAUACUGGGCGACUAGAGUAUGAAAGAGGGAGGUAGAAUUCCAUGUGUAGCGGUGAAAUGCGUAGAUAUAUGGAGGAAUACCAGUGGCGAAGGCGGCCUCCUGGUUCAAUACUGACGCUGAGGUGCGAAAGCGUGGGGAUCAA